Molecule: long non-coding RNA, 832 nt
Organism: Caretta caretta (loggerhead turtle)
Lineage: Eukaryota; Metazoa; Chordata; Testudines; Cheloniidae
Source: RefSeq, a predicted model, not a curated record
CUGAGAUCAAAGUCCAUCCCCAAGCAGUGGUCUGCCAUUGCUGCCAGUCAUGCCCUGUUCUUCCUCUCCCAUUUAACUCCACUUUGAAAGCCCCCUCUGUGUACAAGGAGGGGACCCUAACACUACCCCACCACUGUCUGUGGACACCUGCAAUGGGGAAGUCUCACACAACAGGGAGGAGGAUUUUGUGAUUAUGGAGGAGGAGGAGAAUGCGCAGCAGGCAAGCGGUGAAUCCGUUCUCCCCGGCAGCCAGGACCUUUACAUCACCCUGGAGCCAAUACCCUCCCAAGGCAGGAUCCCCGACCCUGAAGCUGGAGAAAGCAGCUCUGGUGCAAAUGUUUCUAUGCUCCCCCAUCAUCUCUGUCCCUGAAGUUAUCGCAGAUUAGAAGGUGGGGAAAAAAAGCACUCACAAUGACAUGUUUUCCAAGCUCAUGCAGUCCUCCCACACUGAUAGGGCACAGCUUAAUGUAUGGAGGCAUUCAGUGGCAGAGGCCAGGAAAGCAUUAAGUGAACACGAAGAGCAGAGGCAGGAGGUGAUGCUGAGGCUAAUGGGAGAGCAAACAGACAUGAUGAAGUGUCUGUUGGAGCUGCAGGAAAGCCAACAAGAGCACAGACCCCCGCUGCAUCCAUUGUACAACUGCUUCACCUCCUCUCCAAGUUCUAUAUCUUCCUCACCCAGACAACCAAGAACGUGGCGGGAGGCUCCGAGCACCCAGCCGCUCUACUCCAGAGGGUGGCCCAAGCAACAGAAGGCUUUCAUUCAAACAGUUUUGAUUUGUAGUGUGGUCACAAUAAGCAAUAUGGCCUUGUCCUUCCCUCCUCCCGCACCCCA